This 1519-nucleotide ribosomal RNA is filed under the name metagenome. RNAcentral describes it as "bacterial SSU rRNA". It matches the Rfam family "Bacterial small subunit ribosomal RNA". The record is from RNAcentral.
AGGGUUUGAUCCUGGCUCAGAGCGGACGCUGGCGGCGUGGUUGAGGCAUGCAAGUCGAACGAGAAAGGAGGGGCAACCCUCCGAGUAAAGUGGCGCAAGGGUGAGUAAUGAAUAGGUAACCUGCCCAUAAGCCAGGGAUAACUCACUGAAAAGUGAGCUAAUACCGGAUGGCAUCAGAUGUCUUCGGAUGUUCUGAUUAAAGUCGGGGAUCCGCAAGGACCUGGCGCUUAUGGAUGGGCCUAUUUCCUAUUAGCUAGUUGGUAGGGUAAUGGCCUACCAAGGCGAAGAUGGGUAGCCGAUCUGAGAGGAUGACCGGCCACACUGGGACUGAGACACUGCCCAGACUCCUACGGGAGGCUGCAGUCGCGAAUCUUCCGCAAUGGGCGAAAGCCUGACGGAGCGACGCCGCGUGAAGGAUGAAGGCCUUCGGGUCGUAAACUUCUGUCAUACGUUAUGAAGCAUUCUUGGAUUAACAUGCUGGGAAUGUUGACAAAGGCGUAAGAGGAAGCCACGGCUAAAUACGUGCCAGCAGCCGCGGUAAUACGUAUGUGGCAAGCGUUGCUCGGUGUCACUGGGCAUAAAGAGUUCGUAGGCGGCGGCGUAAGUCGGGUGUGAAAUCCCUUGGCUCAACCAAGGAAUUGCAUCCGAUACUGCGUUGCUUGAGGUCGGAAGGGGAGAGUGGAAUUCUGGGUGUAGCGGUAAAAUGCGUUGAUAUUCAGGAGAACACCGGUGGCGAAGGCGACUCUCUGGUCCGAUUCUGACGCUGAGGAACGAAAGCUAGGGGAUCAAACGGGAUUAGAUACCCCGGUAGUCCUAGCCCUAAACGAUGGGCACUAGAUGGGAGGCGAAAGCUUUCUGUCGUAGCUAAUGCGUUAAGUGCCCCGCCUGGGGAGUAUGGUCGCAAGGCUAAAACUCAAAGGAAUUGACGGGGGCUCACACAAGCGGUGGAGCAUGUUGCUUAAUUCGAGAGUACACGAAGAACCUUACCCGGGUUUGAAAUGCACGGAUUAGUCCGGUGAAAGUCGGAUGACGCUCUAACCAGUGGAACGUGCACAGGUGUUGCAUGGCUGUCGUCAGCUCGUGUCGCGAGAUGUCGGGUUAAGUCCCUUAACGAGCGAAACCCUUGUCCUUAGUUGCCAGCGGGUAAUGCCGGGGACUCUAAGGAGACUGCCGGUGUUAAACUGGAGGAAGGUGGGGAUGACGUCAAGUCAUCAUGGCCCUUAAGUCCGGGGCCGCAAACGUGCUACAAUGGGGUGUACAGAGAGACGCGAGACCGCGAGGUGGAGCAAAUCUCAAAAACACCCCCCAAUUCAGAUUGGAGGCUGAAAUUCGUCUCCAUGAAGCCGGAAUCGCUAGUAAUCGCGGGUCAGCCACACCGCGGUGAAUAUGUUCCUGAGCCUUGUACACACCGCCCGUCAAGCCACCCAAGCUGAUCGCACCCGAAGUCCAUGUCCUAACUCGCAAGAGAGGGAGUGGCCGAAGGUGAGGUUAGUAAGGGGGACUAAGUCGAAACAAGGUA